GUUAACUGUACUUUACCCACUGCUCCUACAGUUUAGAAAUGGGGUGGAGGGAAAAUAGUAUAUGCAAAGGCCCAGAGGUCUGAAACACUGUGGUUUACUCUGAGAGAGAUACACUGAAUUAGUGUAGAAGAGAGCUGGAUCAGGAAAAAUCUUAUGAGAAUUAAGUUGAAAUUACACCAGACCCCCAACUUGUACUCUUUUAUGUCUUUGCUCUUGUCAAAAAAUUAAUUUCUUUAAGAGGAAGUCAUCCUAGGUAUAUAUUUAAAAUUGCCAGAUUUUCUGUUAUAUCUUUAAACCAUCUGUUUUAUACUGAAAUUUCUGGUGGUUUAAGAUUAAAGAAAAAGAUUCAGAAAAGAAUAAAAUAAAAUUAGGAAUGUGUGACAGAUUAAAGCCUUGUUUAGUGUUUUCUGAUUUUUAUGUUUUUUAAUUGCUAAACUUUCUUGCCCCUUGCUAAGAAUAAUAUGAUUGAAGAAAAAAAAUUAAGAAGUUAUUUAUCACUUAGAAAGUGAUAAUUGUAAAAUCAUGUUAGCAGGUUAUGAUCUGUAUUUAGGUAAAGUCAUGACAUAGAAAAGCUUGUAUUUACAUAUAUUGAAUAGCUUAUGUCUGCAUAAAUAUGUACUAGGUUAUAAUGUAUACACACAUAUACACAAAACCUGCUAUGUGUUGUUGUAAGCAAAGUUUGAAAAACCCCGUUUCAUAUUUCUAUAUGCUUACUGACAUUUCUGUAUAUAUUUUAGAUAGUCUAGUCAUUUAUUCUUGGUAUUUGAAGAGCCACUGCCUUGUCCCCUCCCUUCCUGUCCAACUUAUUGGGUCAUCACUAUGCCAGAGACUGUUCUGCUUUGUAUUUAUUGAUAUAUUUUUUC
RNAcentral lists this long non-coding RNA (863 nucleotides) under Marmota monax (woodchuck). Lineage: Eukaryota; Metazoa; Chordata; Mammalia; Rodentia; Sciuridae. The record is from RNAcentral.